AAUAAGCGGAGGAAAAGAAACUAACAAGGAUUCCCCUAGUAACUGCGAGUGAAGCGGGAAAAGCUCAAAUUUAAAAUCUGGCAGUCUYUGGCUGUCCGAGUUGUAAUCUAGAGAAGUAUUAUCCGCGCUGGACCGUGUACAAGUCUCCUGGAAUGGGGCGUCAUAGAGGGUGAGAAUCCCGUCUUUGACACGGACUGCCAGGGCUUUGUGAUAUGCUCUCAAAGAGUCGAGUUGUUUGGGAAUGCAGCUCAAAAUGGGUGGUAAAUUCCAUCUAAAGCUAAAUAUUGGCGAGAGACCGAUAGCGAACAAGUACCGUGAGGGAAAGAUGAAAAGAACUUUGGAAAGAGAGUUAAACAGUACGUGAAAUUGCUGAAAGGGAAACGCUUGAAGUCAGUCGCGUUGGCCAGGGAUCAACCUUGCUUUUUUGCUUGGCUUACUUUCUGGUUGAUGGGUCAGCAUCAAUUUUGACUGGUGGAAAAAGUUCAAGGGAAUGUGGCAUCUUCGGAUGUGUUAUAGCCUUUGUUCACAUACAUUGGUUGGGAUUGAGGAACUCAGCACGCCGCAAGGCCGGGUUUUUAACCACGUACGUGCUUAGGAUGCUGGCAUAAUGGCUUUAAUCGACCCGUCUUGAAACACGGACCAAGGAGUCUAACAUGCCUGCGAGUAUUUGGGUGAAAAACCCGAGUGCGUAAUGAAAGUGAAAGUUGAGAUCCCUGUCGUGGGGAGCAUUGACGCCCGGAUCUGACCUUUUGUGACGAUUCUGCGGUAGAGCAUGUAUGUUGGGACCCGAAAGAUGGUGAACUAUGCCUGAAUAGGGUGAAGCCAGAGGAAACUCUGGUGGAGGCUCGUAGCGAUUCUGACGUGCAAAUCGAUCGUCAAAUUUGGGUAUAGGGGCGAAAGACUAAUCGAACCAUCUAGUAGCUGGUU
This 927-nucleotide ribosomal RNA is filed under the name Laccaria laccata var. pallidifolia. RNAcentral's name for it is "LSU rRNA". It matches the Rfam family "Eukaryotic large subunit ribosomal RNA", at positions 45 to 956 of the family's 3401-position model. Lineage: Eukaryota; Fungi; Basidiomycota; Agaricomycetes; Agaricales; Hydnangiaceae. The record is from RNAcentral.